Thalassophryne amazonica is the source of this 103-nucleotide long non-coding RNA. RefSeq lists it as uncharacterized. Lineage: Eukaryota; Metazoa; Chordata; Actinopteri; Batrachoidiformes; Batrachoididae. The record is from RefSeq and is a predicted model, not a curated record. The transcript has 3 exons.
AACAAAUGGUUACACAGAAAGGUGUUUUUGCAUCACCUCUGCAAAUCAGGUGUGUUUUAAGCUGCACGACAGACUCACAACUGCUGCCGUCCUGUGUAAAGGC